Molecule: ribosomal RNA, 253 nt
Filed under: uncultured bacterium
Lineage: Bacteria
Description: partial 16S ribosomal RNA
Rfam family: Bacterial small subunit ribosomal RNA
Source: RNAcentral
UACGAAGGGGACUAGCGUUGCUCGGAAUCACUGGGCGUAAAGCGCACGUAGGCGGACUCUUAAGUCAGGGGUGAAAUCCUGGAGCUCAACUCCAGAACUGCCUUUGAUACUGAAGAUCUUGAGUCCGGGAGAGGUGAGUGGAACUGCGAGUGUAGAGGUGAAAUUCGUAGAUAUUCGCAAGAACACCAGUGGCGAAGGCGGCUCACUGGCCCGGUACUGACGCUGAGGCACGAAAGCGUGGGGAGCAAACAGG